Molecule: non-coding RNA, 1585 nt
Organism: Vicugna pacos (alpaca)
Lineage: Eukaryota; Metazoa; Chordata; Mammalia; Artiodactyla; Camelidae
Source: RefSeq, a predicted model, not a curated record
AGCAUGACACGGCAGAAUGCACCUUCCGCAUGAAUGGCCCUCGUUUACAGCAUCAGCUGUCUGAACCCUACUUUCACUUCUCAAUCAAGGUUUCUCCACUUUUAUACGGCUUCUCUGCGGUGGCCUGUCCUCUCCGAUAUGCCUAAGCCCUAAAGAGACAAUAUUAAGAGCUGGAGUCUUCGGUCAUUAAGUCAUGAGGGUAAAGCCCCUUGUGAUGGGAUCAGCGCCCUUGUAAGAAGCGGCACACACCAGAGAGCUUGCUGUCUGCUGUGAAACAGGAGGGCCCUCACCCGAAACCCAACCGUGCUCGCACCCCGGCCUCAGACUUCCAGCCUCCAGAAAACGCUUUUCGCCUUGAAAGAGAGAACACCAACCAGCCCGCCCUGAGGCGAUGCCUGUAGCAUCAGGAUGCCAAGCCCAGUUCACGACGUUCACAGGCUGCACAAGACGACAAAGGCGGGAAGGUGGCAGCAGGCAGGCCUGAGUUACAAGGAGACGUCCUUCCCCAGUGAAGCCAGGUCCCGGGAGCUCUCAGCAUCGCUCCCCUGAGCAGCGUCUAGCUGGAUCCACCCCUCCCGGAUGAAAUCCACAGCCUCAUCCUCGAACAUCCCCGACUCCUGAAGCUAUAAAUUCCCGCUCAGUGAAGGGUUACGCCAAUGACACCCUCCGAAGGGAGUGGAAAAAGCAAGCAGCAUUAGAAGGGACAGGACAGAGAGAUGUAUGUGAGGAAAACGUGUCAUCCUCCCAAGGAAACCAAACACCUGCAAGAAAAACGGACAUUACCAUGAAAUAACCAGAGGUAAAUACAGAAAGUGCUUUGGCAUUUAGGGACGGAAGAGGAGGUCCAGGGGGCUGUGGGGGAAGCUACCCAAGGCUGCUCUAGGUUAGCACCAAGGAAGAGAUGGCGUUCGGAUCGCCUCCUAUUCACCCACGGAUGACGGACAGAGGGGUCCCCAACCCUAAAGAGCACAAGAUGGCCAAACACGUGACACCCAGCACUGGACAGAUGAGACUGCGAGCAGUUUAUCAGUCACAUAUCCUCACCCGCAUGGCGUGGAGGGCCCUCGGGGGUUGCACUUGGGAGCAGAGAACUAGCAGGGGCCGUGGGAGGCAGGCUCUGUACUGACGAGGGGGUGAGGUGACCCUUGGUAACCAUGGGAAGAUGGGAUCAGCUUGUUUGAACAACUCUGUGGGCUGGAAGGGAGAUGAAACCCACUAGGCUGAGGACUGGGAGGGGUGUACCUGGCUGGGCUGAUAGGGGAGCUGGCCAGGCAGGUGGGGGGAGCCCUUCCCACCGGGUGGGGGUGUGUCUGGCGAGAGCAGGGGACCUCACAGCUAGGUCUCUGGAGUGACGUGAGGCCCCAAGUUGUAGACGCAGCACAUGGAAUUCUAGGCUUUACUAUAACUGGGCAGGAAUCCAGUUAGUGGGGGGAGCAUGUGCGAGCGGGAUAAAUCCAAAAAGUGGCUGGCCUACGAGACGACCAAGAAAACACCCAUCUUGACUUGAAAAUGGCAUUUCCAAUUUAUAAGCCCAUUUCAGCCUUGUUUUCUAGCCCUCAGACUAGGAAAUAAAACUAAGCAUUCA